CAGCCGCGGUAUUCCAGCUCCAAUAGCGUAUAUUAAAGUUGCUGCAGUUAAAAAGCUCGUAGUUGAAUUUCGGGACCAUCAUGUCGGUCGUGCCUCGGUACGUACUGGCAUUGUUGGUUUCUCCCUUCUGACGAACCAUGAUGUCAUUUAUUUGGUGUUGUGGGAAAUCAGGACUGUUACUUUGAAAAAAUUAGAGUGUUUAAAGCAGGCUCACGCUUGAAUACAUUAGCAUGGAAUAAUGAAAUAGGACGUUUGAUUCUAUUUUGUUGGUUUCUAGGAUCGACGUAAUGAUUAAUAGGGAUAGUUGGGGGCAUUAGUAUUCAAUUGUCAGAGGUGAAAUUCUUGGAUUUAUUGAAGACUAACUACUGCGAAAGCAUUUGCCAAGGAUGUUUUCAUUAAUCAAGAACGAAAGUUAGGGGAUCGAAGACGAUCAGAUACCGUCGUAGUCUUAACCAUAAACUAUGCCGACUAGGGAUCGGAUGAUGUUAAUUUUUUAAUGACUCAUUCGGCGCCUUACG
This 518-nucleotide unclassified non-coding RNA is filed under the name uncultured Glomeromycotina. RNAcentral describes it as "SSU rRNA". It matches the Rfam family "Eukaryotic small subunit ribosomal RNA", at positions 571 to 1092 of the family's 1831-position model. Lineage: Eukaryota; Fungi; Glomeromycota. The record is from RNAcentral.